AAACUACAAAGGAAUUGACGGGGCCCGCACAAGCGGAGGAACAUGUGGUUUAAUUCGAUGAUACGCGAGGAACCUUACCUGGGCUUAAAUGUAGAGUGCAUGAGGUAGAAAUACUUCGUUCCCUUCGGGGCUCUUUGCAAGGUGCUGCAUGGUUGUCGUCAGCUCGUGCCGUGAGGUGUCGGGUUAAGUCCCAUAACGAGCGCAACCCUUAUCGUUAGUUGCCAGCGGGUAAUGCCGGGGACUCUAGCGAAACUGCCGGUGUAAACCGUGAGGAAGGUGGGAUGACGUCAAAUCAGCACGGCCCUUAUGUCCAGGGCUACACACGUGUUACAAUGGCCGGUACAGAGGGCAGCUACCUGGAGACAGGAUGCGAAUCUCGAAAGCCGGUCUCAGUUCGGAUCGGAGUCUGCAACUCGACUCCGUGAAGCUGGAUUCGCUAGUAAUCGCGCAUCAGCCAUGGCGCGGUGAAUACGUUCCCGGGCCUU
This 485-nucleotide ribosomal RNA is filed under the name uncultured Sphingobacteriales bacterium. RNAcentral's name for it is "bacterial SSU rRNA". It matches the Rfam family "Bacterial small subunit ribosomal RNA", at positions 896 to 1382 of the family's 1533-position model. The record is from RNAcentral. Lineage: Bacteria; Pseudomonadati; Bacteroidota; Sphingobacteriia; Sphingobacteriales.